AACGCGAAGAACCUUACCAGGGCUUGACAUCCUACUAACGAAGCAGAGAUGCAUUAGGUGCCCUUCGGGGAAAGUAGAGACAGGUGGUGCAUGGUUGUCGUCAGCCCGUGUCGUGAGAUGUUGGGUUAAGUCCCGCAACGAGCGCAACCCUUAUCGUUAGUUGCUACGCAAGAGCACUCUAGCGAGACUGCCGUUGACAAAACGGAGGAAGGUGGGGACGACGUCAAAUCAUCAUGCCCUUUAUGUCCUGGGCUACACACGUACUACAAUGGCGGUUAACAGAGGGAGGCAAACCCGCGAGGGGGAGCGAAACCCUAAAAACCGUCUCAGUUCAGAUCGCAGGCUGAAACCCGCCUGCGUGAAGGUGGAAUUGCUAGUAAUCGCGGAUCAGCAUGCCGCGGUGAAUACGUUCCCGGGUCUUGUACACACCG
RNAcentral lists this ribosomal RNA (431 nucleotides) under uncultured bacterium. Its description in RNAcentral is "bacterial SSU rRNA". It matches the Rfam family "Bacterial small subunit ribosomal RNA", at positions 958 to 1392 of the family's 1533-position model. The record is from RNAcentral.